AUUGAACGCUGGCGGCAGGCCUAACACAUGCAAGUCGAACGGUAACAGGAAACAGCUUGCUGUUUCGCUGACGAGUGGCGGACGGGUGAGUAAUGUCUGGGAAACUGCCUGAUGGAGGGGGAUAACGACUGGAAACGGUAGCUAAUACCGCAUAACGUCGCAAGACCAAAGAGGGGGACCUUCGGGCCUCUUGCAAUCGGAUGUGCCCAGAUGGGAUUAGCUAGUAGGUGGGGUAACGGCUCACCUAGGCGACGAUCCCUAGCUGGUCUGAGAGGAUGACCAGCCACACUGGAACUGAGACACGGUCCAGACUCCUACGGGAGGCAGCAGUGGGGAAUAUUGCACAAUGGGCGCAAGCCUGAUGCAGCCAUGCCGCGUGUAUGAAGAAGGCCUUCGGGUUGUAAAGUACUUUCAGCGGGGAUGAAGGGAGUAAAGUUAAUACCUCUGCUCAUUGACGUUACCCGCAGAAGAAGCACCGGCUAACUCCGUG
Molecule: ribosomal RNA, 490 nt
Filed under: uncultured bacterium
Lineage: Bacteria
Description: partial 16S ribosomal RNA
Rfam family: Bacterial small subunit ribosomal RNA
Source: RNAcentral